This 442-nucleotide ribosomal RNA is filed under the name uncultured bacterium. Its description in RNAcentral is "partial 16S ribosomal RNA". It matches the Rfam family "Bacterial small subunit ribosomal RNA", at positions 338 to 795 of the family's 1533-position model. The record is from RNAcentral.
CCUACGGGCGGCAGCAGUAGGGAAUCUUUCACAAUGGGCGAAAGCCUGAUGGAGCAACGCCGCGUGCAGGAUGAAGGCCUUCGGGUUGUAAACUGCUUUUAUAAGCGAGAAAUAUGAUGGUAACUUAUGAAUAAGGAUCGGCUAACUACGUUCCAGCAGCCGCGGUCAUACGUAGGAUCCGAGCAUUAUCCGGAGUGACUGGGUGUAAAGAGUUGCGUAGGUGGCAUAAUAAGUAGCUAGUGAAAUCUGGUGGCUCAACCAUUCAGACUAUUAGCUAAACUGUUAAGCUCGAGACCGUUAGGGGUAACUGGAAGUUCUAGUGUAGGAGUGAAAUCCGUAGAUAUUAGAAGGAACACCAAUAGCGUAGGCAGGUUGCUGGGACGGUUCUGACACUAAGGCACGAAAGCGUAGGGAGCAAACGGGAUUAGAUACCCCGGUAGUC